ACAAACUUGGUCAUUUAGAGGAAGUAAAAGUCGUAACAAGGUUUCCGUAGGUGAACCUGCGGAAGGAUCAUUAACACGUUCCAAACGUCAACAACCCGAGGACUUGUACCAUACCCAUGCGGAUACGCUAUGGUUGACAGAUGUAGUUGUGGUGGGUGAGCUUUCGGGCUCACGGCUAUGUCUGGCUGGGGCUUCGAGCCCAAAACCGUAUCUGUGUGGUCAUGAAUACCAUCACCGUUUUAACUAAUUAACCCCUUUCCAACAUCCUGUCUGAUCAUAUUCGAAUGGAGAAAUUCAUUUGGAUCGAUAUUUUAACUAAGUACAACUCUUAGCAAUGGAUAUCUUGGUUCUCGCAUCGAUGAAGAACGCAGC
RNAcentral lists this unclassified non-coding RNA (372 nucleotides) under uncultured fungus. RNAcentral's name for it is "partial contains small subunit ribosomal RNA, internal transcribed spacer 1, and 5.8S ribosomal RNA". The stretch from base 1 to 73 matches the Rfam family "Eukaryotic small subunit ribosomal RNA", at positions 1759 to 1831 of the family's 1831-position model. The record is from RNAcentral. Lineage: Eukaryota; Fungi.